Molecule: ribosomal RNA, 446 nt
Filed under: uncultured Anaerolineaceae bacterium
Lineage: Bacteria; Bacillati; Chloroflexota; Anaerolineae; Anaerolineales; Anaerolineaceae
Description: bacterial SSU rRNA
Rfam family: Bacterial small subunit ribosomal RNA
Source: RNAcentral
ACAAGCGGUGGAGCAUGUGGUUUAAUUCGACGCAACGCGAAGAACCUUACCAAGGCUUGACAUCCCCUGACCGCGUAUGAAAGUACGUUUUCACCCUCGGGUGACAGGGAGACAGGUGGUGCAUGGUUGUCGUCAGCUCGUGUCGUGAGAUGUUGGGUUAAGUCCCGCAACGAGCGCAACCCUCACUGUGUGUUAUAUGUGUCACACGGGACUGCCGGUUUUAAGCCGGAGGAAGGUGGGGAUGACGUCAAGUCAGCAUGGCCUUUAUAUCCUGGGCUACACACACGCUACAAUGGUCGGUACAAUAGGUUGCCAAGCCGCGAGGCGGAGCCAAUCCAAAAAAGCCGGCCUCAGUUCAGAUUGUAGGCUGCAACUCGCCUGCAUGAAGAUGGAGUUGCUAGUAACCGCAGGUCAGCAAUACUGCGGUGAAUACGUUCCCGGGUCUU